This 253-nucleotide ribosomal RNA is filed under the name uncultured bacterium. RNAcentral's name for it is "partial 16S ribosomal RNA". It matches the Rfam family "Bacterial small subunit ribosomal RNA", at positions 524 to 776 of the family's 1533-position model. The record is from RNAcentral.
GACGGAGGAUGCAAGCGUUAUCCGGAAUUAUUGGGCGUAAAGCGUCCGCAGGUGGACAUACAAGUCUGCUGUCAAAGUGCAGAGCUUAACUCUGUAAAGGCGGUGGAAACUGUAGGUCUUGAGUAUGGUAGGGGUAGAGGGAAUUCCCGGUGUAGCGGUGAAAUGCGCAGAUAUCAGGAAGAACACCCGUGGCGAAAGCGGCUCUCUGGAACGGUACUGACGCUGAGACGCGAAAGCGUGGGGAGCGAACAGG